GAGGGGCCCGCGCCCGAUUAGCUUGUUGGUAGGGUAACGGCCUACCAAGGCUUUGAUCGGUAGCCGGUCUGAGAGGAUGGCCGGCCACACUGGAACUGAGACACGGUCCAGACUCCUACGGGAGGCAGCAGUGGGGAAUCUUGCGCAAUGGGCGAAAGCCUGACGCAGCGACGCCGCGUGGGGGAUGAAGCCUUUCGGGGUGUAAACCCCUUUCGACCCGGACGAAUGGCCCGCAAGGGAAUUGACGGUACGGGUAGAAGAAGCCCCGGCUAACUACGUGCCGGCAGCCGCGGUAAGACGUAGGGGGCCAGCGUUGCUCGGAAUUACUGGGCGUAAAGGGUCCGUAGGCGGUGCGGCAAGUCGGGGGUGAAAUCUCUGGGCUUAACUCAGAGGCUGCCUCCGAAACUGCCGUGCUCGAGUGCGGGAGAGGCGAGCGGAAUUGCAGGUGUAGCGGUGAAAUGCGUAGAUAUCUGCAGG
RNAcentral lists this ribosomal RNA (477 nucleotides) under uncultured Acidobacteriota bacterium. Its description in RNAcentral is "bacterial SSU rRNA". It matches the Rfam family "Bacterial small subunit ribosomal RNA", at positions 224 to 704 of the family's 1533-position model. The record is from RNAcentral. Lineage: Bacteria; Pseudomonadati; Acidobacteriota.